UCUACGGGCGGCAGCAGUGAGGAAUAUUGGACAAUGGUCGGAAGACUGAUCCAGCCAUGCCGCGUGAAGGAAACUGCCCUAUGGGUUUUCAACUUCUUUUGUAUGAGAGCAAUAAGUUCUACGUGUAGGACGAUGAGAGUAUCAUACGAAUAAGCAUCGGCUAACUCCGUGCCAGCAGCCGCGGUAAUA
Molecule: ribosomal RNA, 189 nt
Filed under: uncultured bacterium
Lineage: Bacteria
Description: partial 16S ribosomal RNA
Rfam family: Bacterial small subunit ribosomal RNA
Source: RNAcentral